ACGUAUGGUGCAAGCGUUAUCCGGAUUUACUGGGUGUAAAGGGGGCGCAGGUGGCCAGGCAAGUCAGAAGUGAAAGCCCGGGGCUCAACCCCGGGACUGCUUUUGAAACUGUCCGGCUGGAGUGCAGGAGAGGUGAGUGGAAUUCCCAGUGUAGCGGUGAAAUGCGGAGAUAUUGGGAAGAACACCAGUGGCGAAGGCGGCUCACUGGACUGUAACUGACACUGAGGCCCGAAAGCGUGGGGAGCAAACAG
This 251-nucleotide ribosomal RNA is filed under the name uncultured bacterium. RNAcentral describes it as "partial 16S ribosomal RNA". It matches the Rfam family "Bacterial small subunit ribosomal RNA", at positions 525 to 775 of the family's 1533-position model. The record is from RNAcentral.